UGCCUGGAAUUGAAAUAGAUACCCGAAC
RNAcentral lists this non-coding RNA (28 nucleotides) under Mus musculus (house mouse). The record is from RNAcentral. Lineage: Eukaryota; Metazoa; Chordata; Mammalia; Rodentia; Muridae.